Molecule: ribosomal RNA, 500 nt
Filed under: uncultured bacterium
Lineage: Bacteria
Description: partial 16S ribosomal RNA
Rfam family: Bacterial small subunit ribosomal RNA
Source: RNAcentral
AUUGAACGCUGGCGGAAUGCUUUACACAUGCAAGUCGAACGGCAGCACGGACUUCGGUCUGGUGGCGAGUGGCGAACGGGUGAGUAAUGUAUCGGAACGCGCCCAGUCGUGGGGGAUAACGUAGUGAAAAUUACGCUAAUACCGCAUACGAUCUAUGGAUGAAAGCGGGGGAUCGCAAGACCUCGCGCGAUUGGAGCGGCCGAUAUCAGAUUAGGUAGUUGGUGGGGUAAAGGCCCACCAAGCCAACGAUCUGGAGCUGGUCUGAGAGGACGACCAGCCACACUGGAACUGAGACACGGUCCAGACUCCUACGUGAGGCAGCAGUGGGGAAUUUUGGACAAUGGGCGAAAGCCUGAUCCAGCCAUUCCGCGUGCAGGAUGAAGGCCCUCGGGUUGUAAACUGCUUUUGUACAGAACGAAAAGGUUUCUACUAAAACUAGGAGCUCAUGACGGUACUGUAAGAAUAAGCACCGGCUAACUACGUGCCAGCCGCCGCGGUAA